This 65-nucleotide transfer RNA is filed under the name Batillipes longispinosus. Its description in RNAcentral is "tRNA-Gln". The record is from RNAcentral. Lineage: Eukaryota; Metazoa; Tardigrada; Heterotardigrada; Arthrotardigrada; Batillipedidae.
GCUUGUUAAAUAGUAUAAAUAAUACUUUAAGUUUUGAUCUUAAAAACACAAUUCAAUUGUUUUAA